GUCGAGCCGGCCAGAACAUCGCUCCAGUGAUGUUUAUAAUCAGAAACUCGUGACAAUGCCGUGAACCAGGCCAUAAGUAUACACAGAAGUUGCAGGAAGUGUUUCAACAGCUUGCUACCCUUCCAUGUCAUCCUUAAUUAGAAAAGCUGGAAAGGGGCAUCGACGGAAACGUCUCGAAAGAGAUUAUUGGGAAUAUUUCAGGAUAAACAACGUUGUAUGGUUAUUCGCUGCAAAUAAAGAGAGUGAAGAGGAUAGACGAUUGGAUGCUGCAUAAACGACGGACAGCAGUUGAAACGAGCGGUGACAGUAGCGUC
Long non-coding RNA from Bombus impatiens (common eastern bumble bee), 314 nucleotides. RefSeq lists it as uncharacterized. Lineage: Eukaryota; Metazoa; Arthropoda; Insecta; Hymenoptera; Apidae. The record is from RefSeq and is a predicted model, not a curated record. The transcript has 2 exons.